UACGAGGGAUGCAAGCGUUAUCCGGAAUUAUUGGGCGUAAAGAGUUUGUAGGUGGUUUGGUGUGUUUAAUGUUAAAUAUUAAAGCUUAACUUUGAAAUUGCAUUGAAAACUACCAGACUUGAGUAUGAUAGAGGUAAAGGGAAUUUCCAGUGUAGCGGUGAAAUGCGUAGAUAUUGGAAGGAACACCAAAGGCGAAAGCACUUUACUAGGUCAAUACUGACACUGAGGAACGAAAGCUAAGGUAAUCAAACGG
Molecule: ribosomal RNA, 253 nt
Filed under: uncultured bacterium
Lineage: Bacteria
Description: partial 16S ribosomal RNA
Rfam family: Bacterial small subunit ribosomal RNA
Source: RNAcentral